Molecule: long non-coding RNA, 2000 nt
Organism: Vicia villosa (hairy vetch)
Lineage: Eukaryota; Viridiplantae; Streptophyta; Magnoliopsida; Fabales; Fabaceae
Exons: 2
Source: RefSeq, a predicted model, not a curated record
UUUUCCAUUUUUGGAUCCAAUAUAAUGAAAAUCACUUUCCGUCACACUCUUUUUUGCUUCCUCUGCAAUAAUGAGUUCAACCUCACUUGAAAACAAUGAUCAUCACCAAAACCAGAAUAAUGAUACAUCAAAAGUCACCCACAAUUUUCAAAGACCCCUCUCAAGACCCAAGAAGAACGUAUUUCCUCCAUCCAUGUGAUAAUCCCAGCGCCGUUUUGGUUGCAAAUGCGCUCACCGACAACAAUCAUCAUAAUUGAAGCCGAUGGAUGAGACGAGCACUUUCCUCCAAGAACAAGAACAAGAUCGCGUUCAUCAAUGGAACUCUUCAGAAACCCCUCUCUACGAAUCCCAAUUUUGAUCUUUGGGAGAGAUGCAACAACAUGGUAAUUUCAUGGAUCACUCGAACCCUUUCCCAACAUAUCUUUCACAGUACAAUCUGCAUCGAAUCUACUUUUGAUCUUUGGACAGAUAUUGAAGAUUGAUUCACUAAAUGCAAUUACUUUAGGGUUUCUGAUCUUCUCAGUGACCUCCACUCAACUCAGCAAGGAGAACGAUCUCUUUCAAGUUUCAACCUAGUUCAUUGAUAUGAAGAUUUUACGGGAUGAAUUAGAGGAUCUUCGACCUACACGUACUUGUGCGCUCUCCAGCCCGGUCAAAAAUUUUCAAGAACAUAGUACAUCAUUUGCUUCCUCAAAGGGCUCAAUGGAAACGACACCAACAUUCGCACUCAAAUUCUUCUUAUGGAUCAUCUCUCCUCCAUUUCCAAGGUAUAUUCCCUAGUAUCUCAAUAGGACCCUCCCCUAAUUGAAAAAUCCAUUGACUCCAUUGUUCUUGCUGUUAACACAAACAAUUCCAAAAACCCUUAUUAUCCAUCUAAGGACCGAGGAAGAGGAUCCAAAACCCCUAUGCUUUACACCCAUUGCAGAAAAACUAACCAUACCGUGGACCAUUGUUAUUUUAAACAUGGUUACCGACCCAUACCAACAUAUAAAACCCUAAACAAGCCAACCAUAUCAUGCUAAUUCCAGAAACCCCAACCCAUCAUCCAACACCAACACUGAUAACCAUAAUUCGAGUGACAAAAACCUUGCCCUAUCCAAAGAAGACUACCAAUACCUAGUGAAUCUUUUGGAGUCCUCAAGAUCAUAGUCUUUCAACAAUAACAAGCAUCACGAUGAAUCUAACACCCCCAUUUAUUUGUGACUUUCAUGUGAUUUUUUGAUUAUUGUGUUGUUGUAAUUAAAUUAUUAGGAAGUUUGGGUGUGUGUUUGUGUGUCUUUGAGGUGGGAGAGUGGCGGCAGAGUUAGAGGUUGAUAAAAUUAAUUUAAUAAUUAAAAUAAUAGUAGUUUAUUUGAUUUCUUUAAUUAAAAUGAGAAAAUAGAGAAUUAGGGCUAGAUAUAUUUAAUUAAAAGUGGAAAAUAAGAGAAAUAAAAGGGAGGAGUGAGAGAGGAUUAAUUGAGGGGAGAAAUCACAAUUUUAAAUAGAUUAAUAUCCUAACUAUUUAAGGUUAAGCAUAGUCUAGAUUUCAGGGUAUUUGUCGUGAAAAAAUUGGAUUAGAGAGGCAAGAGACUAGAGAAAGAGUUUAGAGAAUAGAAGGCUAGAAGUGGAGAAAGAGACAUCAAUCAAACCGAGAAAAUUAUCAAUUGCUGCUAGGAGAACCAAGUAUAGGGGAGACCUGCUUCUCUAAUGGGUAUAUGCAUGACAGGACUUGCUUACCCAAAGGACGAUUGAACAUGUUAAUCUCUUCAACAAUUCUCUAUAUCUUUCAACAGUCUCCAAAGGGUCAUAACCUAUCUGCAUUACCUGCUCUACCUUAUAUAGAUACAAGAGAUACUACCUUUGAUGAAACCCAGUUUAUCAACAAUACUGUAAGAUUUAUACCUUCACAAAUUUUUGAUAAGUGGCACUUCAGGUUAGGCCACCCACCCAACCUUUUCUAUUUUACAACUAUGUAUUACAUUUUCCUACAUUUCUAUUAAUGAAAACAUGGGUUGUGAUCA